RNAcentral lists this ribosomal RNA (232 nucleotides) under uncultured bacterium. Its description in RNAcentral is "partial 16S ribosomal RNA". It matches the Rfam family "Bacterial small subunit ribosomal RNA", at positions 99 to 334 of the family's 1533-position model. The record is from RNAcentral.
CGGACGGGUGAGUAAUGUCUGGGAAACUGCCUGAUGGAGGGGGGUAACUACUGGAAACGGUAGCUAAUACCGCAUAACGUCGCAAGACCAAAGAGGGGGACCUUAGGGCCUCUUGCCAUCGGAUGUGCCCAGAUGGGAUUAGCUAGUAGGUGGGGUAACGGCUCACCUAGGCGACGAUCCCUAGCUGGUCUGAGAGGAUGACCAGCCACACUGGAACUGAGACGCGGUCCAG